AACUAUAUAUAUAUAUAUAUACAAAUUAUUUUAAAUAUUUACAUUACCAGAUAACAAAUAUGUAUGAUUAAAAUUAAUUUGGGAUAUGUUACCUCCAGAAAAUUGUGUCGCAACUGAAUGAAACUACAGUUUUAAACGCCUGAAAUCAGAGCAGGUGAAGCACAGACACGUCCGAUUACUUCCGGUUAACCCCCUCCACGAGGCUCGUGUUGGCGAGGAGUCGAGCAAAGGAAUGACCUAGCCCUUUCUAUUUAUCCUGACAUUUGGAAGUGCCGCCUACUAUCACACGGCAUAUGUGGCAAAUAUUACAUAUCUUUGUAUACUCGGAUUGGACUCUUCAAGGAAAUACAGUUUUUCCUUGGACUUCAAAACCAACAAACUGCUUUCAGCAUCGGAGGAUACAACUAUCCAUCACCAGAAGGAGUUCUCACCUGGAAACACCGACGUCUUGUCUGAAAGACCCUGCUCAGAAAGCUGCCAAAAUCAUACUAGGGUGGAAGAAAUACAACACAGACUACUGUCUAUUUUCCAUCCCAGAUGCUCAUCGGUCGCAACCUUCAUCUGCCUUGUGAUCUCUUGUUUGAUUUCCCUCUGCAUGUGCCUUCAAUCGCGUGAGGAAUACAUCCAAGAUCUCCAAUGCACAAUUUUGCAUGAGAGCGAGUCAACUUGGGGACGGAGAAGAUGAAGACCCGAUACGACAUGAGAGCUACUGGACAUCUUUUCAACGAAGGUGGGGUUUCAAUGAGACAAGGUGUGGUUGUGGAAUCCAAUCCGACGGAAAGGACUGUGUUGUAAACUACAGUCACCUUUGGAGGGUCCUUACACAGUCCUAAACAGGAUGAACAACGUCGUGGUUCGGAUCCAUAAGUCAUCGAAUUCUAAGCCUAAAGUCGUUCAUUACGACAGGUUAGCUUCUUACUAUGGGUAUAGUACAUAGUGUAUAUAAUGCAAAUAGUAUUUGACCAUGGUCUUUUUUGUUUCGUUUCUAAAUUUGUAUUUGAUUUGAUUUGCAUUUAGCAUUUAAUUUGUUUUAAGUUACUUAAUGCAAUUAUUAUUUGUGUUGUUUGUUAUUUUAACAUAAUGUGUAUUGUUGAAUUGAUGCUUUAGUUUUAAGUAUGGCUUUCUGUCCAGAGAUUGUACUGCCUUGGAUGUGCACUCCUUUGGAAGGGGGCAGUGUUACGAAUUUAGUACUUAAAUAGCAAAUCUUAGUGAAAUUAUAAUUAAAAUUGUUGUAUUUCCCUGUGCAAUGCAACAUGUGGUAUAUUUUAAGAGAAAGCUACACUGGAAAAUUAAAAAUACAAGAGCAUGUGCAUUUAACAUUGAAUAAAAGUUUAUCUCUGUAAUUGAUAUUUAAUUUAAAUAAAUGUAAUUUACUACUGUGUUAGCUGUAACUGUAAUUUUACUCUUUUUGCUUUCCAGAAAUUGCUAGAACUGUCUUGCAUGGCCAUUUAAAAAGCUAUAAAAGCCGGAGAGAAACAUCUGAGCUCAGUUGUUUCGAUAACUGUUGUUGUUGAUUGUAGCGAAUUCGCGCUGAUAUCAGAUUAGCUUACUCUGCGCUUUGAAUUGUGUUCUAUUUACUGUUUUAGUACUUUAAAAUAUAGCUACUGAUUAUAGUGCAUGAUAUUGUGAUACUAUAUAAAUAUCUCUGAGGAAAUAUUUCAGCAUUUGGUUUUAUUUGUGAAAAGAAUAAAUUCUGUUAACUUUUUUUUUAUCAGACUUGUGCAUUCAAUCUAUUGAGCCCCUAUGCACGCAACAAUUUAUUUCAUAUUUGAAAUAAUAGCUAUAAAUGCUUCAUUUCAUUCCCUUUUUUUCUGUAAAGUAAUCAUCAUGCAAUAUAAAUUAAAAUAAAAUAUUACUCAGUUUUUGUUUAAUAUGUUGGGUAAAUAAUAUUAAAUGAUUACAUUAACCGAGAUGUCUUUCUAUUAUAGGCAGUCAGGUUUAAGUGGAAUUUCACAUAGUGAAUCCGAACUUAAAUUUAGUGCAGAGUAUUGGCAGUCAUUUGAAAAAGCAUUACCAAAAACUUGUGUAUGGGACUGUGUAACUGAAAUCUUAGAAAGAUAUAGGGAACUCUUAAAGACUCGCUGUAGUUUGCUUGAAUUGAAAUUAAGCCUGGUAGCUGAGAAUGAAGAGUUUGAAAAAUAUCUGAAGAACUAUAAUGCCUAUGUGUAUUUAUGAUCUACUAAUCUUCAUGCUAAUGUAUUUAUUACUGUAUAUUUUUUUCUAAAAUGACUGUUGAAAAUAAAGCAUAUAUGUUUCAAA
RNAcentral lists this long non-coding RNA (2259 nucleotides) under Stegodyphus dumicola. Its description in RNAcentral is "uncharacterized LOC118204303". The record is from RNAcentral. Lineage: Eukaryota; Metazoa; Arthropoda; Arachnida; Araneae; Eresidae.